Molecule: ribosomal RNA, 253 nt
Filed under: uncultured bacterium
Lineage: Bacteria
Description: partial 16S ribosomal RNA
Rfam family: Bacterial small subunit ribosomal RNA
Source: RNAcentral
GACAGAGGGUGCAAACGUUGUUCGGAAUUACUGGGCGUAAAGCGCGCGCAGGCGGCUCCUCAAGUCAGGGGUGAAAGCCCAGAGCUCAACUCUGGAGUUGCCUUUGAGACUGUAGAGCUUGAGUACGGGAGAGGUGAGUGGAAUUCCCAGUGUAGAGGUGAAAUUCGUAGAUAUCGGGAGGAACACCAGUGGCGAAGGCGGAGACCUGGGCCAAUACUGACGCUGAGGUGCGAAAGCGUGGGGAGCAAACAGG